GGUCUUCUGGCCAAGUUGGUACGGCCUAGCGGUUGCAAUUCUAGCGUUCUCAGCGUUUAUAUACUUACUCAACAUCUUUACUCCGCAUCGUUAGGCACCGAGGGUUCGAUUCCCUCGAUGGCCA
Molecule: non-coding RNA, 124 nt
Organism: Xylaria curta
Lineage: Eukaryota; Fungi; Ascomycota; Sordariomycetes; Xylariales; Xylariaceae
Source: the annotation of a GenBank genome assembly